ACAUUCCCAACUAGGCGCAUCUGGGGUCAGCCUUCCUCAGUCCGGGUGGUUUCUUCCGACCGACCGUCAGCACUCGACAAAUAACUGAGCAGCUGCUGGGGCCGGGAACACCGCGGGGACAGGUCAGAGCUGACCCUGAGCGACUCUACUGCCUCUCCCCGCCACGCCCACCUGCCCCCUGCGGGGUAGGACCCCGCAACCACCACUCCAGAGUCCUCUGCAGGGACUGCUGUUGCUACGGGAGAGGAAGCCAGAGGAAGGGGACGCCAUCUGGGGGAUGCUUGGGCCGUGGUGGCUGCAGAAGCAGCAGCAGCAGUGACGGCCACCGCCGCCAACCAGGGGCUUCUCCCUGGCCAGCGCAGCCACCUGGGCUCCGGGCAGCAGCAUUUUCCACGUGGCUCCUCCAAUCCUCACGAGACAGCAGCUCCCUGCAUUGCUAAUGCAGACUCCUGUGCUCAAGCGAUCCACAUGACUCGGCCUCCCCAAGUGCUGGGAUCACAGGCGUGAGCCCCCGUGCCCGGCCAGCCCUGGAUGUUCAUCACCUGCGUCUAUGGGCAUCUCUCCGUCACACUCCCUUUUGGAAGUUACUGUUUCUUUUUGGUCAAUUCAUUGCCUCUAACUUCAGAGCCCUACUCACGUGUAUUUAUCCCCCUUGAUUCCCCAAAACUUAUCGGCUUACCCAGACCUUCCCCCAUUAAAUGCUUUCCCUCCCUCCCA
This is a long non-coding RNA of Homo sapiens (human), 717 nucleotides long. The record is from Ensembl. Lineage: Eukaryota; Metazoa; Chordata; Mammalia; Primates; Hominidae.